AAGAACAGAUCCAGCAGUUGAUAGCAGCAUAGAUUUCAGAUGAGGGUAACUUGAAAAUUUGCAUUUCAAUGCUCGGUACAUAGUGUCGAGUUUGGCAGUUCGCCAAUCAGAUCGUAUCUGCAAUGAAAAUUCCCAAAGAUUAUCAGGUGAAUGCUCUAUCUAGUUUGCGUGAGAAUGUGUUUCGGCAUGCUAACAUCUUGUUCCUUUUCCCCCUAAACUUGGAAUUUUCAACUGUUUUUUUAUUGAUUUUUGUGUUGAAAAUUAAAAAGGAUUUCCAACAAAUACUGAAGAUCUAGCUAAGAGCUUUAGAAAAGAUGAGCAACCUCGUUUUUCUUCAUAAGAUCUUAUAUUUUGAAAACAAUAAAUCUCAAACCCUUUUAUUUAUUUUUCUUUUUCAACCUUGAGAUUGAACAUGAUUUUCCAAGUCUAAAAAGAUGUCUUUAAUUCCUAUCAAUAAACUAUUCUAGCAAAGAGCUCUACAAGCAUUUUACCACACCACUAUGGCUUUUAAUACCCAACAGAGCCCACGAAAUACCUCAUGAAGGGAAUAAGCUGUGAAUAAAAUCACAUCUUUGAUCUAUAAGUUUUAUACAAAAAUCACAUCUUCACAUCAUGCCAAAAGAAACAAAGCUGACUUAAAACCAAACUAGUAAGAUAAGCAAUACCAUUUUAGGGUGUUGCCUCUGCAUUAAUCUUCCUAUUCUUGCUGCUUCCUCUGGACUUCUUGCCGAUUUUAUCUUUUCCACACAAUCCUGAGCUACAGGAUCAUCGAUACCCACAAAUUUGUGAGCCUGCAUAUUCAAGGAAGGUUAGGCACUAUACUGCAUUUUGAAAGUAAGACGAUAAUUCAAGCAAAGGGUGGGCAUACCUGAUAAUAAUGCUCAACCGUCAACCAAGUGCAACCAUUGCCAU
This 912-nucleotide long non-coding RNA is filed under the name Cucumis sativus (cucumber). RNAcentral describes it as "long non-coding RNA (CSAT_LNC000442)". Lineage: Eukaryota; Viridiplantae; Streptophyta; Magnoliopsida; Cucurbitales; Cucurbitaceae. The record is from RNAcentral.